AUUUGGGUAGCUUAAAUUUAAAGCUUAAUAUUGAAGCUAUUAUGAUAAGGAUAACCUUCUCAAAUA
This 66-nucleotide transfer RNA is filed under the name Dicranocephalus alticolus. Its description in RNAcentral is "tRNA-Phe". Lineage: Eukaryota; Metazoa; Arthropoda; Insecta; Hemiptera; Stenocephalidae. The record is from RNAcentral.